Molecule: ribosomal RNA, 505 nt
Filed under: uncultured bacterium
Lineage: Bacteria
Description: bacterial SSU rRNA
Rfam family: Bacterial small subunit ribosomal RNA
Source: RNAcentral
GAUCAUGGCUCAGGAUGAACGCUAGCUACAGGCUUAACACAUGCAAGUCGAGGGGAAACGACAUCGAAAGCUUGCUUUUGGUGGGCGUCGACCGGCGCACGGGUGAGUAACGCGUAUCCAACCUGCCCACCACUUGGGGAUAACCUUGCGAAAGUAAGACUAAUACCCAAUGAUAUCCCACGAAGACAUCUGAAAGAGAUUAAAGGUUUAUCGGUGAUGGAUGGGGAUGCGUCUGAUUAGCUUGUUGGCGGGGUAACGGCCCACCAAGGCGACGAUCAGUAGGGGUUCUGAGAGGAAGGUCCCCCACAUUGGAACUGAGACACGGUCCAAACUCCUACGGGAGGCAGCAGUGAGGAAUAUUGGUCAAUGGGCGAGAGCCUGAACCAGCCAAGUAGCGUGCAGGAUGACGGCCCUAUGGGUUGUAAACUGCUUUUAUAAGGGAAUAAAGUGAGCCUCGUGAGGCUUUUUGCAUGUACCUUAUGAAUAAGGACCGGCUAAUUCCGUG